Cyanistes caeruleus (blue tit) is the source of this 528-nucleotide non-coding RNA. Lineage: Eukaryota; Metazoa; Chordata; Aves; Passeriformes; Paridae. The record is from RefSeq and is a predicted model, not a curated record.
GUGGAGGAUGCUUCUGGAUUGAGAGCUCUGAGUUCCUCUUCCCUCUGUUUCUUGGUCUGCAGGAGAAUGAAAGGAGCUGGAGGUAACUUAGAGGAAAGAGGAAGGGCUUGUCCAUCGUGGCAGAGGUGUGGGAAUAUCUCACUCAGAUGAGGCCUUAAGGCUCAGAAACUGGAUACAUGAUCAGGGAAAGAAGGAGGAUAUGAUGGCUGUAUUUUGGUAUUUUUGGUUCCUGGAAAUGACUUCCCAUGCACUGGAGAAAACUUCAGGAUGGUCAAGGUACUCAAGAGACCAGAACCUGCCAGUUCAUUGAGAGAACAUCAAGGUGGUUUGGGGCUAUGUGGACCAUGGCUAUAUCUACUGUGCUGCCACACUCAGGAUUUCAAGUACUGAGAAAAAUGUCUUGCUUCUAGCUUCCUUGUCAUCUCUUUCCUUUUGUACAUCUGCUGGUAAAACAACCUGGCAAUAGAUGAAACUUUAAAUACAUUAGGCAUUCAUUUACAUUUGAAGAGGGAAAUAAAAUAUGCAUGA